ACGACCCGUGAACACGUUGUGACUGCCCGUUGGGGGCUUGGGCUUUGAACGGCCCUGGCCCCCAACUGUGCUCGGGUCGUUCGGCCCUCGCCAACGCCCCCAGCAUAACAAACAAACCCCCGGCGCGGAAUGCGUCAAGGUAGAGCAAAAAAGCAAGCGAUGCGCCGCCGGUGCUCCGGAGACGGUGUCACCUGGCGGCGGAUUCGUGGAUUUGGUUAAAGAUAAAACGACUCUCGGCAACGGAUAUCUCGGCUCUUGCAUCGAUGAAGAACGUAGCGAAAUGCGAUACGUGGUGUGAAUUGCAGAAUCCCGUGAACCAUCGAGUCUUUGAACGCAAGUUGCGCCCGAAGCCAUCCGGCUGAGGGCACGUCUGCCUGGGCGUCACACACCGUUGCCCCCACAAAACCUCGGCAUCCGCGGUCAAAAAGCGUGGUGACGGGUUUACCGGGGCGGACGUUGGCCUCCCGUGUGCCCCGGCACGCGGUUGGUCUAAACAUGGGUCCAUUUCGGGUCGGGCACUGGCCCGCCGCGGGUGCGAGCUUUGCGGUCGGUUAAAAAACAGUGCCCACGCGCGCCAUCGCGACAAACUGUGGUUGUGGAUCCGUCCGGUCGUGGACCGUCGCAUGCGCCGGCCGUGAAACUGGACCCGAGCACGAACCCCAACGCACCAUCUGUGUGGAUGCUUCCGACGCGACCCCCGG
RNAcentral lists this ribosomal RNA (701 nucleotides) under Dorstenia hildebrandtii. RNAcentral's name for it is "eukaryotic LSU rRNA". The stretch from base 229 to 384 matches the Rfam family "5.8S ribosomal RNA". The record is from RNAcentral. Lineage: Eukaryota; Viridiplantae; Streptophyta; Magnoliopsida; Rosales; Moraceae.